This 417-nucleotide ribosomal RNA is filed under the name uncultured bacterium. RNAcentral's name for it is "bacterial SSU rRNA". It matches the Rfam family "Bacterial small subunit ribosomal RNA", at positions 30 to 447 of the family's 1533-position model. The record is from RNAcentral.
AUUGAACGCUGGCGGCAUGCCUUACACAUGCAAGUCGAACGGCAGCACGGGAGCAAUCCUGGUGGCGAGUGGCGAACGGGUGAGUAAUAUAUCGGAACGUGCCCAGUAGUGGGGGAUAACUGCUCGAAAGAGCAGCUAAUACCGCAUACGACCUGAGGGUGAAAGGGGGGGAUCGCAAGACCUCUCGCUAUUGGAGCGGCCGAUAUCAGAUUAGCUAGUUGGUGGGGUAAAGGCCUACCAAGGCAACGAUCUGUAGUUGGUCUGAGAGGACGACCAGCCACACUGGGACUGAGACACGGCCCAGACUCCUACGGGAGGCAGCAGUGGGGAAUUUUGGACAAUGGGCGCAAGCCUGAUCCAGCAAUGCCGCGUGCAGGAAGAAGGCCUCGGGUUGUAAACUAGCUUUGUUCUAGGGAA